RNAcentral lists this long non-coding RNA (226 nucleotides) under Mytilus galloprovincialis (Mediterranean mussel). The record is from RNAcentral. Lineage: Eukaryota; Metazoa; Mollusca; Bivalvia; Mytilida; Mytilidae.
UGUGUGUGUGUGUUUUUUUUUUAAUAGUCUAUAGAAUUAGAAGGUAAGUCUACAUAAGUUAUAUUUACAUGUAACUAAAGUCUAAAAAGAUGACUCCACUUUCCCUCUAUAUUUAAAACCCGCUUACCAAUUUAAACAGCAUUUGCUCCCCUUGAAAGCUAAUUUGCCCCUUCCCCGUCAUUUCCCUUUAAAUUUGCUCAAAAGUCAUACUUAUAGUCCAUUUACA